GUGUGAAGUGUGAACAGCUGACACAGCCAGACUCUGAGAGUCUGCAGCCAGGUCAGAGACUGACCAUCACCUGUCAGGUCUCUUAUUCUGUGAGCAGCUACUACACGGCUUGGAUCAGACAGCCUGCAGGGAAAGGACUGGAGUGGAUUGGGAUGAAACACACUGGAGCUUCUUACUACAAAGAUUCACUAAAAAACAAGUUCAGCAUUGAUGUAGACUCUUCCAACAACAGAGUGACUCUAAAUGGGCAGAACAUGCAGCCUGAAGACACUGCUGUGUAUUUCUGUGCCAGAGAUCCACAGUGAUACAAACCAUCAACAGACCUGAACAAAAACCCUCAGAGCCUGAAAACUUGUAGCAUAAAUCCACCAGAGGAGGCACUCUAACACCACCAAUGAUUUUUUUUUUUUACCUCCAUAAAUACUUAGGGCAUAUAUCUUUAAAGUCUUGAAAACAUUGGUUCAACAAAUUAUUAUUAUUUUUUUUUUAAUCAGGAAAAAUCAAUUCAAAUCACAUCAAACAGAACAAAGUUUUCUUUAUGAGGCACUUCUCAUAAAUACAUAAAAUGUUAUACAAAAUAAAAGCAAAUAAUAAAACAAAUGAACCAACAAGCAAAAUAAUAUAAAGACCUUCAUAGA
This is a non-coding RNA of Oryzias melastigma (Indian medaka), 638 nucleotides long. NCBI's taxonomy places the organism in Eukaryota, Metazoa, Chordata, Actinopteri, Beloniformes, Adrianichthyidae. The record is from the annotation of a RefSeq genome assembly.